Molecule: ribosomal RNA, 428 nt
Filed under: Bacillota bacterium
Lineage: Bacteria; Bacillati; Bacillota
Description: Firmicutes bacterium partial 16S ribosomal RNA
Rfam family: Bacterial small subunit ribosomal RNA
Source: RNAcentral
UAGGGAAUCUUCGGCAAUGGACGGAAGUCUGACCGAGCAACGCCGCGUGAGUGAAGAAGGUUUUCGGAUCGUAAAGCUCUGUUGUUAGAGAAGAACGUUGGUAGGAGUGGAAAAUCUACCAAGUGACGGUAACAACCAGAAAAGGACGGCUUACUCAGUGCCAGCAGCCGCGGUUAUACGUAGGUCCCGAUCGUUGUCCGGAUUUAUUGGGCGUAAAGCCAGCGCAGGCGGUUCUUUAAGUCUGAAGUUAAAGGCAGUGGCUUAACCAUUGUACGCUUUGGAAACUGGAGGACUUGAGUGCAGAAGGGGAGAGUGGAAUUCCAUGUGUAGCGGGGAAAUGCGUAGAUAUAUGGAGGAACACCGGUGGCGAAAGCGGCUCUCUGGUCUGUAACUGACGCUGAGGCUCGAAAGCGUGGGGAGCAAACAGG